Molecule: ribosomal RNA, 461 nt
Filed under: uncultured bacterium
Lineage: Bacteria
Description: SSU rRNA
Rfam family: Bacterial small subunit ribosomal RNA
Source: RNAcentral
AGAAUCAACGCUGGCGGCGUGCCUAACACAUGCAAGUCGCACGAGAAAGGGACUUCGGUCCUGAGUACAGUGGCGCACGGGUGAGUAACACGUGAAUAAUCUACCUCCGAGUGGGGAAUAACUGAGAGAAAUCUUAGCUAAUACCGCAUAACACUUACGAGUCAAGGCAGCAAUGCGCUUGGAGAGGAGUUCGCGGCAGAUUAGUUAGUUGGCGGGGUAAUGGCCCACCAAGACGAUGAUCUGUAUCAGGCCUGAGAGGGCGCACGGACACACUGGAACUGAAACACGGUCCAGACUCCUACGGGAGGCAGCAGUGGGGAAUUUUGCGCAAUGGGGGAAACCCUGACGCAGCAACGCCGCGUGGAGGAUGAAAUAUCUUGGUAUGUAAACUCCUUUCGAUGGGAAGAUAAUGACGGUACCAUAGAAGAAGCCCGGCUAACUUCGCGCCAGCAGCCGCGUAA